RNAcentral lists this small RNA (1756 nucleotides) under Oryza sativa Japonica Group (Japanese rice). RNAcentral's name for it is "sRNA Os03g0821325". The record is from RNAcentral. Lineage: Eukaryota; Viridiplantae; Streptophyta; Magnoliopsida; Poales; Poaceae.
CACACCUGCUUUGUUGGCAGCACGGAAAAGAACUUCCUCCACAAGAUGUUGGGCAGGGUCGCCUUCAGGGGUUGUUGCGAUGAACAUUUCGACCUGAGCAACUGCCUCCUCGUUGGUGAAAUACUGGUAAAGUCCAUCUGAAGAUAAUAUCAAGAAUCUAUCCCUUGUGCUGAGCUUAUGAUGAAAAAGGGAUGGAUUGCAUGAUAUGUAUGGGGAGGACCCAACGUAAUCAAUUCUGAACAUCUCCAGGAGGCAUAUUCAAAUGAACUAACCUGUUUCAAAAACCCAGCACCAAAUGCUCUGGUCACCUUCAGCGAGCCCUUCACGCGAUCCUUGGAGAUGGCAGAUGGAUCAUCAGGAUGCUCGUUUCGUAUUCUGAUUACUUCCUGAUUGAACCAUGAUAUGAGUCGAUUCAAUCACCUCUUCCACUGAAGUGCUGUGAUCCGACGUGAGCUGCACGGCCGACAAGCAUGGCGGGCAAUCCCCGACUGAUCCAUCGAAUGAACCCUGGCUGAUCUGCUCGAGAUCGACGCUGUCCAUUGUUGCCAACACAGCCCGGCUAUCGCCAACAUUCAUGAUGUACAUGUCCUCUCCUUUCAUGAGCAUGGCAAGAACACAAGAGCCCAUGAGCGCAAGCUCAGGGAACUCGCCGACCAUCUUGUCGGCGAUGUCCAGGUAAGCCUCCUCGGUCCUGUGCAGCGCACGGGUCAGCGCCUUGAGCACGGCGACGUGGUCGUUCUCGCUGUUGCAACGAAGACGCUGCUGCGUUGGUGGCUUCAGGUUGGAGCAAUCCCGCUCCUGCUCCCACUCGCACUUCCACCGCCGCUGGUCGUCGUCGGCGCCACGCGGCGGUCUUGAGCGGCGGGUGCGGCGGCGGCGACCCCACUGGUCUUGGUUAUCUGAGGCCGUGGUGCUUGGGGCUGAGCCGGGUUGGUCGGGGCGCUGGUCGUGCUGCACGUUCUGCUCCCGCUGAUCCCAGAGGAGGCCGCGGAGCUCGCGGUGGACGGCGGCGUAGAGGUUGGAUACCAGGAAGUCGGUGGCGUCGGGGCCGUUGAACCCAUCGUAGAUGCCGACGAACACCCAGCCUCGCUCCUCCGACACGACGACGUGGACGCGGUCCUCGCCGGCUUUCCCCUGCGCCCACUGCAGACCACAGGGAUCGCCCCCACAGGCGGCGACGGCGGCGGCGGCGGCGUCCGGCGAGCCUAGAUCCGCAGAAUCCUGAAACUUCUCGGUGCGCGCGAGGAGCGCGCGGGUGAAAUUGCGGAGGCGGCGGCCACCGUGGGAGAGGCUCCGGCGGAGCGCAGGGACGGCGCCACCCAUACGACCGGAGGUGGCGGUGCCAGGGAGAGGGCCCGAGAGGAGCGCGGCGUCGAAACCUCGGCACCGGCUGCAGCGGCACAGCAGCGAACGACUCCGAGCUCUCAAACCCCGACGACGCGGUGGCGGACGCCGACGACUCCUCCGGCAUCAGCAGCAGCACGGACGUGGACAGCGGCGUGGAUACGUUGGCACUGAGCGCCGCCCCGGAUAUCGCCCGGAACGGAACCACGAACUUGUCGGGGCGGACGUAGCAGAACGAGUGGCCCAGGCCCUCGUCGUAGGCCGGGUCGGAGGGGAGCGCGGCGGGGGCGACGUGGCGGCCGCCUCGGCCGCCGGCGCCGCCGCCGCAGCAGAAGCAGGCGAGGGAGUUGCCCAUGGCUGGGAAGCGUAGCGGUGGAGAUGGAGAUAGAGAGAGAGGAGGUGGGGGGAGGAG